GUGCUCUUUUCGGCAACACAUAUACUAAAAUUGGAAAAAUACAGAGAAGAUUAGCAUGGCCCCUGGGCAAGGAAAGAAAAGAUAAUAGAUAUAGACAGUUAUA
Small nuclear RNA from Cricetulus griseus (Chinese hamster), 103 nucleotides. The record is from Ensembl. Lineage: Eukaryota; Metazoa; Chordata; Mammalia; Rodentia; Cricetidae.